RNAcentral lists this ribosomal RNA (2885 nucleotides) under Taibaiella chishuiensis. RNAcentral's name for it is "bacterial LSU rRNA". It matches the Rfam family "Bacterial large subunit ribosomal RNA". The record is from RNAcentral. Lineage: Bacteria; Pseudomonadati; Bacteroidota; Chitinophagia; Chitinophagales; Chitinophagaceae.
AUAUUUAAAGCAAUUAAGGGCGUAUGGUGGAUGCCUAGACGACAAGAGGCGAAGAAGGACGUGGUAAGCUGCGAUAAGCUUCGGGGAGCUGCACACGAGCGAUAAUCCGAAGAUUUCCGAAUGGGACAACCCGUUAUGUUGAAGACAUAACACUCGAAAGAGAGCCAACCCGGAGAACUGAAACAUCUAAGUACCCGGAGGAAAAGAAAAUAACAAAUGAUUCCCCAAGUAGUGGCGAGCGAACGGGGAAGAGCCCAAACCAGAGUUGCGUGCAGCUUUGGGGUUGUAGGACUGCAUUUAGAAAGCGUUAUCAAACCGAACUACCUGGAAAGGUAGACCAAAGAGGGUGAAAGUCCUGUAGGUAGAAAUUAGCGUGGACGAGCAGUAUCCUGAGUAGGGCGGGACCAGAGGAAUCCUGUCUGAAUCUGCCGGUACCAUCCGGUAAGGCUAAAUACUCCUUGUCGAUCGAUAGUGAACCAGUACCGUAAGGGAAAGGUGAAAAGUACCCCGAAUAGGGGAGUGAAAUAGUACCUGAAACCGUGCGCCUACAAGCGGUCGGAGGGGUUAAACCUGACGGCGUGCCUUUUGCAUAAUGAUCCUACGAGUUGCUCCUCACUAGCAAGGUUAAGUACUUAAGUUACGGAGCCGCAGCGAAAGCGAGUCCGAAUAGGGCGAAUUAGUUAGUGGGGGCAGACGCGAAACUUUGUGAUCUAUCCAUGAGCAGGUUGAAGGUGUGGUAACACACACUGGAGGACCGAACGGGUUAGCGUUGAAAAGCUAUCCGAUGACUUGUGGAUAGGGGUGAAAGGCCAAUCAAACUGAGAGAUAGCUCGUUCUCUCCGAAAUGUUUUUAGGAACAGCGUCGCAUAUAGAAGUUUAUUAGAGGUAGAGCUACUGAUUGGACUAGGGGGCUUCACCGCCUACCAAAUCCUGACAAACUCCGAAUGCUAAUAAAUAUCUGCGGCAGUGAGGCUGUGGGCGCUAAGGUCCAUGGCCGAGAGGGGAACAACCCAGACUAUCAGCUAAGGCCCCUAAAUCUAUGUUAAGUUGGUUAAACGAUGUUCAAAUCCUAUGACAGCCAGGAUGUUGGCUUGGAAGCAGCCAUUCAUUUAAAGAGUGCGUAACAGCUCACUGGUCGAGGGUUCGGGCGCGGAAAAUGAUCGGGCAUCAAACAUAGUGCCGAAGCUAUAGGAUUGUACGUUAGUACAAUCGGUAGGAGAGCAUUCUAAACUGCGUUGAAGGUGUGUGGUGAUGCAUGCUGGAGCGUUUAGAAAAGAAAAUGUAGGAAUGAGUAACGAUAAACAAGGUGAAAAACCUUGUCGCCGAAAGACUAAGGGUUCCUGAUCAACGUUAAUCGGAUCAGGGUAAGUCGGGACCUUAGGCGUACCCGAAAGGGGAAGUCGAUGGAAAAUGGGUUAAUAUUCCCAUACCUGUGUAAUAUUCGAUGGAGUAACGCAGAAGUGACAAGUCCGCGAACUGACGGAAUAGUUCGUUAAAGGAUGUAGGUAUAGGCCUGGUAGGCAAAUCCGCCGGGACUGCUGAAAUCUGAUAGUACUGCAAAGCUUCGGUGGCGCAGAUAGUGACUGUAAUCAGACUGCCGAGAAAAACUUCUAAGGUUCGUAUUAUACAGCUCGUACCGUAAACCGACACAGGUAGUCGAGAUGAGUAUUCUCAGGCGCUCGGGUGAGCCGUGGAGAAGGAACUAGGCAAAUUAUGGCUGUAACUUCGGAAUAAAGCCAACCGCAGUGAUGCGGUCUCAGUAAAAUGGUGCAACCAACUGUUUAGCAAAAACACAGGGCCCUGCGAAAUCGAAAGAUGAAGUAUAGAGCCUGAUACCUGCCCGGUGCUGGAAGGUUAAGGAAGUUUGUCAGCCGCAAGGUGAAGCUUACGACUGAAGCCCCAGUAAACGGCGGCCGUAACUAUAACGGUCCUAAGGUAGCGAAAUUCCUUGUCGGGUAAGUUCCGACCUGCACGAAUGGUCUAAUGAGUUGCACACUGUCUCCUCCACGAGCCCGGUGAAAUUGUAGUAUCGGUGAAGAUGCCGGUUACCCGCCACGGGACGAAAAGACCCCGUGAACCUUCACUACAACUUUGCAUUGAUUUUGGGUAACAGAUGUGUAGCAUAGUUGGGAGACUAAGAAGCAUGCACGCCAGUGUGUGUGGAGUCACCGUUGAAAUACCAACCUUCUGUUACUUAGAGUCUAAUCCCUGCGAAACAGGGAAACAUUGCAUGGUGGGUAGUUUGACUGGGGUGGUCGCCUCCCAAAGCGUAACGGAGGCUCGCAAAGGUUCCCUCAGCACGGUUGGUAAUCGUGCGUAGAGCGUAUUAGUAUAAGGGAGCUUGACUGUGAGGCUGACUAGCCGAGCAGGUGCGAAAGCAGGCUAAAGUGAUCCGGCGAUUCUGUAUGGAAGGGUCGUCGCUCAAAGGAUAAAAGGUACUCCGGGGAUAACAGGCUGAUCUCCCCCAAGAGCUCAUAUCGACGGGGAGGUUUGGCACCUCGAUGUCGGUUCGUCACAUCCUGGGGCUGGAGAAGGUCCCAAGGGUUGGGCUGUUCGCCCAUUAAAGUGGCACGUGAACUGGGUUCAGAACGUCGCAAGACAGUUUGGUCUCUAUCUGUGGUGGGCGUUAGUAAAUUGCGAGGACAUGACCUUAGUACGAGAGGACCGGGUUGUAUGUACCGCUGGUGUAUCUGUUGUGCCGCCAGGUGCAGUGCAGAGUAGCUAUGUACAGAAAGGAUAAGCGCUGAAAGCAUCUAAGCGCGAAACCUUCCUUAAGAUGAGUUUACUUUUAAGUGCCGUCGAAGACUACGACGUUGAUAGGUUACAGGUGUAAAGGUGGUAACAUCAUAGCCGAGUAAUACUAAUUGCACGUACGCUUUAACUUU